AACCCAAGAAAAACUCUAAUGCUGUUCUAGAACUGGUGAAAGUGAAACCCUACAAAAGUGAAGCUGCUCCAAUGAUCUUCUCAGCAGCGCUCUCCAGCGACUGAAAUCGAAAACAACGAUCUGCGUGACAAUCUUCUCCAGCGCUGCUCCGGUGACGAUCUUUUCAGUGGCGUUCUCCGACGAAUCGAUGCUUUCAAAACGGUGAUUCUGGAUCGAGGAGUUAGGGUUUUGAUUGAGAGCGAUGGGGAGAGGAAAGAUCGCGAUAAGGAGGAUCGACAAUUCCACGAGCAGGCAAGUGACCUUCUCGAAGCGAAGGAACGGUUUCUUGAAGAAGGCGAAGGAGCUUGCAAUUUUGUGCGAUGCUGAGGUUGGAGUUAUGAUCUUUUCCAGCACUAACUCUAUGAUUUCUCCAGUACCAGGUAAAGAAAAUGUGUCCAAAUGAUCCCGAUGCAACAAAGAAAUUGAAGAAAUGUGAAAAGGCAGUUAUGAAACUUAAAUUUGAAGAAGCCAUUACUGCACCAGAGUCUCAAAGGCGUUCAGUAGCUGAAUCUAUUCGCAGAAUGCUUCUAUGUUUUCUGAUCAUUACUGUCCUCUCUAUUCUGCUGUGAAACUUCUUGAUUGUGGUUCCAUGUGAGCUUUUUGAAGUGGCUAUUUUUGUUAUUUUCUGCAUGUUCUUUUUUCUGUCUAAUUGUGUGUUGAAAGUGGAAGCAAGCUCUAGCUACAUUCACCCAUCCAUCGAGAGGCUACAACAAUUGCAAGAAAGAAGUUUACCGGCCUGCAUCAGCUUUUGCCAAUUCUUUUUUUCCUUUUCCCUUUAAAUUGUCAAAUUCAUUUGUUUGGGUUCCCUUCCUUCUUCUGAGCUUGGCAACUUUUUUAUUUAAAUUUUAAGUUUUUAACUCAUGAUAUGUUUAAUUUGCUUGGUUUUGCAUAUGCAUAUAACUUAAUCUUCAAUGUGGCAAAGAGGUUGUCGCAGGAGAUUGAUGCAUCGCAUCAGCGAAGUAAAACAGGAUUUUUUUUUCUUCUCCUUGGCUUCCGCAAGAUUCUUUGAAGACUAAAGCCUCCUCUUCGCAGCACAGUGUAAAGAGAUCAUGAAUUUUGUGGUAGCACCAAGCUGAACAAAUUAUUUUCACUUUAAUCAGUGACUGGUGUGAUAUGAGUUUGGAACUGGAAGAAUUAUUGAAUCUGAUCUCCUCUUUUUGGUGUGAUCUUGCUGGUUUGGAAGAUGCAUUAGUGAAGCGUGUGAUGAUCACCCCAGAGGAAGUUAUUAAACGGAGCCUCGAUCCGCAAAGCACAGCAAUAAGCAGAGAUGGCUUGGCCAAAACAAUAUAUUCUAGACUCUUUGACUGGUUGGUGGACAAGAUUAACAAUUUGAUCGGACAAGACGCGACUUUUAAAUUUUUUAUUGGAGUCCUUGAUAUCUAUGGCUUUGGAAGCUUUAAAACCAAAAUCAACAGUUGGAACUCCAGCAUACAUUGCUCCGGAGGUUCUGUCACGAAAGGAGUACGACGGAAAGAUUGCAGAUGUUUGGUCCUGUGGUGUGACCCUUUAUGUCAUGUUAGUUGGUGCAUACCCUUUUGAGGAUCCGGAAGAUCCUAGAAAUUUCAGGAAGACUAUUGGGAGAAUAAUAGGUGUUCAAUACUCCAUACCAGACUAUGUUCGCGUUUCUGCAGAGUGUAGGAACCUUCUCUCUCGAAUCUUUGUUGCCGACCCUGCCAAGGCAAGUGGGUAAAGGUUGAGAGGAUCAAGAAGAGGAUGAAGAAGGGGAAACAGAGAAAAUUCCAAGGGUUGAGUUGGAUAGAAAGAACAGGAUGGGUUUUGCUUCUGCAGAAAGAACAGGAUGCGUUGUUUCAUGCUCCUCAUCAGGCAACAGUUACAAUAUCUCUUGGGAGGCACCGUUGGACGAGCCAGCGAAGCAAAGGAUGCUUAAGGUUAAGGAGCCAUUAAGUUUACUUAUGAUGUAAUUGCAAGGAAGUGGAAGCGUAACAAGAAAGGAUUUGCUCAUGAAUUUUGACAAUAUUUACCUUUGUUUAAUUUAAAGCUCUUGAAUUAUGAUGGAUUCCAUGACCGCAUUAUUCUAUUGUUAAUUUAAAGAAUAAUGUUGGCAUUAGGUGCUCCUCUUUUUAUCCAAUCAAGUUUCCUUUGAUUGUCUUCCAA
Molecule: non-coding RNA, 2154 nt
Organism: Arachis ipaensis
Lineage: Eukaryota; Viridiplantae; Streptophyta; Magnoliopsida; Fabales; Fabaceae
Source: RefSeq, a predicted model, not a curated record